UACAGAGGGUGCUAGCGUUGUUCGGAAUCAUUGGGCGUAAAGGGCGUGUAGGCGGUUCUUUAAGUUUGGUGUGAAAUCUCCCGGCUCAACCGGGAGGGUGCGCCGAAUACUGAGGGACUUCGAGUGCGGGAGAGGAAAGUGGAAUUCCUGGUGUAGCGGUGAAAUGCGUAGAUAUCAGGAGGAACACCCGUAGCGAAGGCGGCACUCUGGGCCGAUACUGACACUGAGGAGCGAAAGCGUGGGGAGCGAACAGG
RNAcentral lists this ribosomal RNA (254 nucleotides) under uncultured bacterium. RNAcentral describes it as "partial 16S ribosomal RNA". It matches the Rfam family "Bacterial small subunit ribosomal RNA", at positions 524 to 776 of the family's 1533-position model. The record is from RNAcentral.